AGUGCGCAGGCGCAACUGCCUGGCUCUGCUCGCUCCGGCGCUCCGGCCCAGCUCUCGCGGACAAGUCCAGACAUCGCGCGCCCCCCCUUCUCCGGGUCCGCCCCCUCCCCCUUCUCGGCGUCGUCGAAGAUAAACAAUAGUUGGCCGGCGAGCGCCUAGUGUGUCUCCCGCCGCCGGAUUCGGCGGGCUGCGUGGGACCGGCGGGAUCCCGGCCAGCCGGCCAUGGCGGGGCUGUACUCGCUGGGAGUGAGCGUCUUCUCCGACCAGGGCGGGAGGAAGUACAUGGAGGACGUUACUCAAAUCGUUGUGGAGCCCGAACCGACGGCUGAAGAAAAGCCCUCGCCGCGGCGGUCGCUGUCUCAGCCGUUGCCUCCGCGGCCGUCGCCGGCCGCCCUUCCCGGCGGCGAAGUCUCGGGGAAAGGCCCAGCGGUGGCAGCCCGAGAGGCUCGCGACCCUCUCCCGGACGCCGGGGCCUCGCCGGCACCUAGCCGCUGCUGCCGCCGCCGUUCCUCCGUGGCCUUUUUCGCCGUGUGCGACGGGCACGGCGGGCGGGAGGCGGCACAGUUUGCCCGGGAGCACUUGUGGGGUUUCAUCAAGAAGCAGAAGGGUUUCACCUCGUCCGAGCCGGCUAAGGUUUGCGCUGCCAUCCGCAAAGGCUUUCUCGCUUGUCACCUUGCCAUGUGGAAGAAACUGGCGGAAUGGCCAAAGACUAUGACGGGUCUUCCUAGCACAUCAGGGACAACUGCCAGUGUGGUCAUCAUUCGGGGCAUGAAGAUGUAUGUAGCUCACGUAGGUGACUCAGGGGUGGUUCUUGGAAUUCAGGAUGACCCGAAGGAUGACUUUGUCAGAGCUGUGGAGGUGACACAGGACCAUAAGCCAGAACUUCCCAAGGAAAGAGAACGAAUCGAAGGACUUGGUGGGAGUGUAAUGAACAAGUCUGGGGUGAAUCGUGUAGUUUGGAAACGACCUCGACUCACUCACAAUGGACCUGUUAGAAGGAGCACAGUUAUUGACCAGAUUCCUUUUCUGGCAGUAGCAAGAGCACUUGGUGAUUUGUGGAGCUAUGAUUUCUUCAGUGGUGAAUUUGUGGUGUCACCUGAACCAGACACAAGUGUCCACACUCUUGACCCUCAGAAGCACAAGUAUAUUAUAUUGGGGAGUGAUGGACUUUGGAAUAUGAUUCCACCACAAGAUGCCAUCUCAAUGUGCCAGGACCAAGAGGAGAAAAAAUACCUGAUGGGUGAGCAUGGACAAUCUUGUGCCAAAAUGCUUGUGAAUCGAGCAUUGGGCCGCUGGAGGCAGCGUAUGCUCCGAGCAGAUAACACUAGUGCCAUAGUAAUCUGCAUCUCUCCAGAAGUGGACAAUCAGGGAAACUUUACCAAUGAAGAUGAGUUAUACCUGAACCUGACUGACAGCCCUUCCUAUAAUAGUCAAGAAACCUGUGUGAUGACUCCUUCCCCAUGUUCUACACCACCAGUCAAGGAUUUUGGAUUUGAACUCGAUUCAAGAAAGUGAUGUAACUUAUUAUCAGAGAGCCAUCUUUACAUCAAUACUAAUCUGAAUGCCAGCCAUGUGUACAGCACUAAUAAAAAGUCACUGGAGGAGGAUCCAUGGCCAAGGGUGAAUUCUAAGGACCAUAUACCUGCCCUGGUUCGUAGCAAUGCCUUCUCAGAGAAUUUUUUAGAGGUUUCAGCUGAGAUAGCUCGAGAGAAUGUCCAAGGUGUAGUCAUACCCUCAAAAGAUCCAGAACCACUUGAAGAAAAUUGCGCUAAAGCCCUGACUUUAAGGAUACAUGAUUCUUUGAAUAAUAGCCUUCCAAUUGGCCUUGUGCCUACUAAUUCAACAAACACUGUCAUGGACCAAAAAAAUUUGAAGAUGUCAACUCCUGGCCAAAUGAAAGCCCAAGAAAUUGAAAGAACCCCUCCAACAAACUUUAAAAGGACAUUAGAAGAGUCCAAUUCUGGCCCCCUGAUGAAGAAGCAUAGACGAAAUGGCUUAAGUCGAAGUAGUGGUGCUCAGCCUGCAAGUCUCCCCACAACCUCACAGCGAAAGAACUCUGUUAAACUCACCAUGCGACGCAGACUUAGGGGCCAGAAGAAAAUUGGAAAUCCUUUACUUCAUCAACACAGGAAAACUGUUUGUGUUUGCUGAAAUGCAUCUGGGAAAUGAGGUUUUUCCAAACUUAGGAUAUAAGAGGGCUUUUUAAAUUUGGUGCCGAUGUUGAACUUUUUUUAAGGGGAGAAAAUUAAAAGAAAUAUACAGUUUGACUUUUUGGAAUUCAGCAGUUUUAUCCUGGCCUUGUACUUGCUUGUAUUGUAAAUGUGGAUUUUGUAGAUGUUAGGGUAUAAGUUGCUGUAAAAUUUGUGUAAAUUUGUAUCCACACAAAUUCAGUCUCUGAAUACACAGUAUUCAGAGUCUCUGAUACACAGUAAUUGUGACAAUAGGGCUAAAUGUUUAAAGAAAUCAAAAGAAUCUAUUAGAUUUUAGAAAAACAUUUAAACUUUUUAAAAUACUUAUUAAAAAAUUUGUAUAAGCCACUUGUCUUGAAAACUGUGCAACUUUUUAAAGUAAAUUAUUAAGCAGACUGGAAAAGUGAUGUAUUUUCAUAGUGACCUGUGUUUCACUUAAUGUUUCUUAGAGCCAAGUGUCUUUUAAACAUUAUUUUUUAUUUCUGAUUUCAUAAUUCAGAACUAAAUUUUUCAUAGAAGUGUUGAGCCAUGCUACAGUUAGUCUUGUCCCAAUUAAAAUACUAUGCAGUAUCUCUUACAUCAGUAGCAUUUUUCUAAAACCUUAGUCAUCAGAUAUGCUUACUAAAUCUUCAGCAUAGAAGGAAGUGUGUUUGCCUAAAACAAUCUAAAACAAUUCCCUUCUUUUUCAUCCCAGACCAAUGGCAUUAUUAGGUCUUAAAGUAGUUACUCCCUUCUCGUGUUUGCUUAAAAUAUGUGAAGUUUUCCUUGCUAUUUCAAUAACAGAUGGUGCUGCUAAUUCCCAACAUUUCUUAAAUUAUUUUAUAUCAUACAGUUUUCAUUGAUUAUAUGGGUAUAUAUUCAUCUAAUAAAUCAGUGAACUGUUCCUCAUGUUGCUGAAUUUGUAGUUGUUGGUUUAUUUUAAUGGUAUGUACAAGUUGAGUAUCCCUUAUCCAAAAUGCUUGGGACCAGAAGUGUUUCAGAUUUUUUAAAAUUUUGGAAUAUUUGCUUUAUACUGAGCUUUUGAGUGUUCCCAAUCUGAAAUUCAAAAUGCUCUAAUGAGCAUUUCCUUUGAGCAUCAUGCCUGCUCUGAAAAAGUUUCUGAUUCUGGAGCAUUUUGGAUUUUGGAUUUUCAGAUUAGGGAUGCUUAACCUGGAUUAACAUUCUGUUGUGCCAUGAUCAUGCUUUACAGUGAGUGUAUUUUAUUUAUUUAUUAUUUUGUUUGUUUGUUUGAGAUGGAGUCUCACUCUGUCAUCCAGGCUAGAGUGCAGUGGCGUGAUCUCGGCUGACUGCAACCUCUGCCUCCCGGGUUCAAGUGAUUCUCCUGCCUCAAUCUCUCUCCCCAGAAGCUGGGAUUACAGGUGUGUGCCACCACACCCGGCUAAUUUUUUUUUUUUUUUUUGAGAUGGAGUCUAGCUCUGUCAUCCAGGCUGGAGUGCAGUGGUGUGAUCUCGGCUCCCUGCAACCUCUGCCUUCUGGGUUCCUGCGAUUCUCCUGCCUCAGCCUCCUGAGUAGCUGAGAUUACAGGCACGCGCCACUGUGCCCAGCCAAUUUUUGUAUUUUUAGUAGAGAUGGGGUUUCACAUGUCAGUCAUGCUGGUCUUGAUCUCCUGACCUCGUGAUCCACCCGCCUCGACCUCCCAAAGUACUGGGAUUACAGGCGUGAGCCACCGCAUCCGGCCUGAGUUUUAUGCUUUCAAUGUAUUUCUUACAUUUCAGUUCAAGUGAUUUUCAUGUCUCAGCCUCCUGAGUAGCUGGAACUACAGGUGCGUGCCACCAUGCCUGGCUAAGUUUUGUAUUUUUAGUAGAGAUGGGUUUUCAUCAUGUUGGCCAAGAUGGUCUUGAUCUCUUGACCUCAUGAUCCACCAGCCUAGGCCUCCCAAAGUGCUGGGAUUACAGGUGUGAGCCACCGUGCCCAGCCAACUAUGCCAUUAUUUAACCAUGUCCACACAUUCUGGUUAUUUUCAAUAUUUUGCAGAAGAUAAUUCUUGAUCGGUGUGUCUUAUGCCACAAGGAUUAAAAUAUGUAUUCAUUGCUACAAAACAAUAUCUCGAAAUUUAGCAGUUUAAAACAACAAAUAUUAUCUCCAGUUUCUGAGCCUCAGAAAUCUGAGAGUGGUUUAGCUGGGUGAUAGUCUCGUGGUUUUGGUCAAGCUACCAACCAGGGCUACAAUCUUUCGAAGGUGUCAUUGGGGCUAGAAGAUCUGCUUCCCGCAAGACUCACAGCUGUUGGCAGGAGACCUCAGUUUGUUGCCACAUGUUCCCCUCCAGAGGGCCUCUCACAACAUGGCAGUUAUUUGUCCCCAGAGCAAGCAACACCGGAGGGCAAGGAAGAAGCCAUGAUGUUUUUUGUAACCUAGCCUCUGAAAGUGUCAUACCAAUUCUGUAUUUUGUUGGUCACACAGACCAAGUCAACUACAACGUGGGAGACUCCUACACAAGGCAUGAAUUCUAGGAGGUGGGCAUUUUUAAGUGUCAUCUGGAAGGAGGCUGUCACAACCUGGAAGUUAAAAGCAUUGAUAUUCUGAAAUACAGCGUGUAUAACAUUGUUUUAGUAGGGUGUGCAAUAGUUAUGUUUUGGUAAUAGCAUUAAUGAACAAUGUUAUUUUCAUCUUCCAGACAUCUGGAAGAUUGCUCUAGUGGAGUAAAACAUCUUAAUGUAUUUUGUCCCUAAAUAAACUAUCUCACUAACAAA
RNA transcript from Homo sapiens (human), 4879 nucleotides. It is a transcript of the gene named protein phosphatase, Mg2+/Mn2+ dependent 1D, with no coding region annotated. NCBI's taxonomy places the organism in Eukaryota, Metazoa, Chordata, Mammalia, Primates, Hominidae. The transcript has 7 exons. The record is from RefSeq and is marked reviewed.